This 264-nucleotide long non-coding RNA is filed under the name Lathyrus oleraceus (garden pea). Its description in RNAcentral is "Pisum sativum (pea) long non-coding RNA (PSAT_LNC025533)". The record is from RNAcentral. Lineage: Eukaryota; Viridiplantae; Streptophyta; Magnoliopsida; Fabales; Fabaceae.
UCUGAACCUGUUAUUAAAUUCUUUGACUUUCUCCAGAAUCGUCAGGUCAUGUCUGAACUUGUGAGUGAAACUUUCUUUGGAUAUCCAAAUAUUGAGGUCGCAUAUGAACCUGUUGAUUAAAAAUUCUUUGGUUUUCUAAUAUUCUUAGGUCAUGUUUGAGCCUAUUGUUGAAACGCUUUGAAUUUUCCAAUGCUGUUAGGCCAUGUAUGAGCCUGUUGAUGGAACUUUCUUUAUACGUUUUCCAGUAUUGUCAGGUCAUGUUUG